This 393-nucleotide ribosomal RNA is filed under the name Hepatozoon canis. RNAcentral's name for it is "SSU rRNA". It matches the Rfam family "Eukaryotic small subunit ribosomal RNA", at positions 641 to 1039 of the family's 1831-position model. The record is from RNAcentral. Lineage: Eukaryota; Apicomplexa; Hepatozoidae.
AAAGUAACCGGUCUGCUUUUAAUAAAAGUGGUAUCUUGGUGUGUAUUUAGCAAUGAUGUCCUUUGAAGUGUUUUUUACUUUAUUGUAAUAAAGCAUAUUCAGGACUUUUACUUUGAGAAAAUUAGAGUGUUUCUAGCAGGCUAACGCUUUGAAUACUGCAGCAUGGAAUAAUAAGAUAGGAUUUUAGUUCUACAUUAUUGGUUUUAAGAGCUAAAUUAAUGAUUGAUAGGGACAGUUGGGGGCAUUUGUAUUUAACUGUCAGAGGUGAAAUUCUUAGAUUUGUUAAAGACAAACUACUGCGAAAGCAUUUGCCAAAGAUGUUUUCAUUAAUCAAGAACGAAAGUUAGGGGAUCGAAGACGAUCAGAUACCGUCGUAGUCCUAACCAUAAACUA